GUUCUCCCUUCUGCUGCCCAAGCAAGGUCAGUGCCCAGAGGAGUGCUAGAGAGAUUUGGGAAGAAACUGUGGCUUUCAUUCAGAGAAAUCCUGCUCUGCUCUCUUUUUGGGAUAGAGGACCUCCACCUCCUGAGGACAGAGCUUUAGCCAUGCUGUCCACAGCUGCUCAGAGGUCACCAUGCUAGUGAGCCACACUGGUGAGCCAUGGUUUUGAGCUGUGUCCUCUGGACCCGUGAGAAUGAAGGGCUGGAGAUGCCAUCAGCACACCAUGCCCUGCAAUUCUGGCACCCAGGAGGGAUCUUCCUACCUUCCAGUCCCACCUGGCUCUCACUUAGAGGGCUGCCACUGGUGGGACUGACCGUGUUAGCGAUCAGCACCAGCAGGGUGGCCCAUGGGCCAUUUGUCUCUGUUAUUGUCUUUGUGACUGUCAAAGCCUGCACCUCCAGGUGCCCCAUUGGCCCGGGGCUGGUCACACAGCACUUCCCUGCCCUGCUGUGAAACCCACCUGUAGCACUGACAGCAGAGAUGCUCCCAUCCCAUCCCCUCCAACAUCAACCCCUCACCCAUCCCCGCUUCUCAAGCAGGAACACGCAGCAGUGUAAGAUGAGCUCAGGAGGGUCAGGGCUAGCCUUUGUUUCACCUCCCAUCCAUUACUUCACUUCCCCCCUAUCUCAAGUCCAUAACCUUUACCAGCAAUGGAACGAAUUGCAUGAGAAAGUUCGGGGGAUGGCAGGAACAUCUGGGCCACAUACUUGGUCUUUACUGAUGCAACAUGAAUACAUCAGGUACAGAUUCCAUUUCCCACCAGGAGAACCCCAAACCUGGAACUUGUCACAUCCACAGCCCUGAUGCGGUUCCUUUGAAGAGGUUUGGCUAAUGUAAUCAUGCAGAUAACCACCCUGACUUAAGUAUCAUUUGAUAUUGUAACAACAGAAGCAAUUAUUUUCCUCGGCAUAAGGGUGACCCAACUUUGGAGGAACACCUCCAAAAGCUGUAGACCUCUGUGAACCAUCCCAACAUGGCUGGUUAACAUUUAAUCAAACAAACAAAAAGCACAGAAUAAAAUCGACGAUUAAUGAGCA
This 1082-nucleotide long non-coding RNA is filed under the name Anas platyrhynchos platyrhynchos (common mallard). RNAcentral's name for it is "lncRNA (ENSAPLG00000016885.1)". The record is from RNAcentral. Lineage: Eukaryota; Metazoa; Chordata; Aves; Anseriformes; Anatidae.